UGGGGAAUCUUGCGCAAUGGAGGAAACUCUGACGCAGCCAUGCCGCGUGAGUGAUGAAGGCCUUCGGGUUGUAAAGCUCUGUCUAAGGGGAAAAAUGAUGUUAUGUCGAAUAGGCAUGGCAAGUGAUGGUACCCUUAAAGAAAACACCGGCUAACUCCGUGCCAGCAGCCGCGGCAAUACGGGGGGUGUAAGCGUUGUUCGGAAUUACUGGGCGUAAAGGGCGUGCAGGCGGCCACCGCAAGUUGAAUGUGAAAUCUCCGGGCUUAACCCCGGGAAGUGCGUUCAAGACUGCGGGGCUUGAAUACGGG
Molecule: ribosomal RNA, 308 nt
Filed under: uncultured bacterium
Lineage: Bacteria
Description: bacterial SSU rRNA
Rfam family: Bacterial small subunit ribosomal RNA
Source: RNAcentral